Molecule: long non-coding RNA, 824 nt
Filed under: Olea europaea subsp. europaea
Lineage: Eukaryota; Viridiplantae; Streptophyta; Magnoliopsida; Lamiales; Oleaceae
Source: RNAcentral
CGAGCAUCAUUAGCGGGCAAAGCCACCGCUUCUACCCACUUUGACACGUAAUCAAUCGCUACCAAUAUGUAUUGAUUUGAGAAUGGAGGAAAAGGUCCGAUAAAAUCAAUACCCCAUACAUCAAAAAUUUCCACCUCUAAUAUAGAAUUCAAAGACAUUUCAUUUUGGUUGGAAUUAUUACCACUGUGUUGGCAUUUGUCGCACUUGAAGACAAGAGUGUGAGCAUCUUUGAAUAAUGUGGGCCAAUAAAAACUGGAUUGAAGUACCUUUGAUGCGGUUUUCACGACCCCGAAGUGACCACCAUAGGGUGAGGAAUGACAUUGUUUAAGGAUUUGCUCCAUUUCAUCUUCCAGCGCACAUCUCCGAAUAAUUUGAUCCGAGCCCCGUUUGAACAACAAAGGGUCAUCCCAAUAAUGCUUGAUGUCGGCAAAGAACUUUUUCCUUUGUUGGUAAGAGAGAUCCGGGGGAAUGAUGCCACUAGCAAGAAAGUUCACAUGGUCCACAUACCAUGGUAUAUGGAUGGCUUGUAGAAGAUGCAUAAUUUGCAAGAGUUGUUCAUCGAGAAAUACCUCAUUUAUCUCCCCAUCUACCACCUCUUUGAUUUGCUCAAGUCGAGACAGAUGAUCGGUAACAAUAUUUUCGGUCCCUUUUUUAUCGUGAAUUUUCAAGUCAAAUUCUUGUAGAAGAAGGAUCCAUCUAAUUAAUCGAGGCUAGGCAUCUUUCUUUGCUAGCAAAUACGUGAGGGCUGAGUGGUUCGUGCAAACAAUCACUUUCGAUCCAAUGAGGUAAGAUCGAAAUUUAUCAAAUGCAAAUACCACUACGAG